AGUGAACGCUGGCGGUAGGCCUAACACAUGCAAGUCGAACGGCAGCACAGUAAGAGCUUGCUCUUACGGGUGGCGAGUGGCGGACGGGUGAGGAAUACAUCGGAAUCUACUUUUUCGUGGGGGAUAACGUAGGGAAACUUACGCUAAUACCGCAUACGACCUACGGGUGAAAGCAGGGGAUCUUCGGACCUUGCGCGAUUGAAUGAGCCGAUGUCGGAUUAGCUAGUUGGCGGGGUAAAGGCCCACCAAGGCGACGAUCCGUAGCUGGUCUGAGAGGAUGAUCGGCCACACUGGAACGGGAACCCGGCCCAGACCCCUACGGGAGGCAGCAGGGGGGAAUUUGGGACAAGGGGCGCAAGCCUAACCCACCCAACCGGGGGGGGUAAAGAAGGCCUUCGGGUUGUAAAGCCUUUUUGUGGGGAAAAAAAAGCAGCAGGUUAAUCCCCCGCUGUUCUGACGGUACCAAAAAAAUAAGCACCGGCUAACUUCGU
Molecule: ribosomal RNA, 491 nt
Filed under: uncultured bacterium
Lineage: Bacteria
Description: partial 16S ribosomal RNA
Rfam family: Bacterial small subunit ribosomal RNA
Source: RNAcentral